This 549-nucleotide ribosomal RNA is filed under the name uncultured bacterium. RNAcentral's name for it is "bacterial SSU rRNA". It matches the Rfam family "Bacterial small subunit ribosomal RNA", at positions 355 to 896 of the family's 1533-position model. The record is from RNAcentral.
UGGGGAAUAUUGGACAAUGGGGGCAACCCUGAUCCAGCGACGCCGCGUGUGUGAAGAAGGCCUGCGGGUUGUAAAGCACUUUUAGUGGGGAUGAAAAACUCAGGGCUAAUAAACCUGGGUCUUGACCUAACCCAAAGAAAAAGCACCGGCUAACUCUGUGCCAGCAGCCGCGGUAAUACAGAGGGUGCAAGCGUUAAUCGGAAUUACUGGGCGUAAAGCGUGCGUAGACGGUUUCGUAAGUCGGGUGUGAAAGCCCCGGGCUCAACCUGGGAAUUGCAUUCGAGACUGCGAGGCUAGGGUGCGGAAGAGGGAAGCGGAAUUUCCGGUGUAGCGGUGAAAUGCGUAGAUAUCGGAAGGAACAUCAGUGGCGAAGGCGGCUUCCUGGUCCAGCACCGACGCUCAGGCACGAAAGCGUGGGGAGCAAACAGGAUUAGAUACCCUGGUAGUCCACGCCAUAAACGAUGAGAACUAGACGUUGAGAGGGUAAGCCUCCCAGUGUCGUAGCUAACGCGCUAAGUUCUCCGCCUGGGGAGUACGGCCGCAAGGUUG